Molecule: long non-coding RNA, 580 nt
Filed under: Homo sapiens (human)
Lineage: Eukaryota; Metazoa; Chordata; Mammalia; Primates; Hominidae
Description: HSALNT0024754
Source: RNAcentral
CACAACGACUUCCUCUACUUCCAACACCUAAAGAUAAUGGCACUGGUUCCACAGCAAGUGUGGGAAUGAUUUUACACAAUAGUAUCUGGGAAAAUAUUUACUUCUGGCCCACUGGCAAAGGAUUGGCCUUUUUAUAUUGUUCUGAAGUUAACUUCAGAGGAGGUCCUUCCCUGAAAAGUCACAGCUGAAGGAACUCACUGCAGACGGUGACUGUUCCUAUGAAGGAUCCUUCUGCCUUUUCAUAACCUGUGUGCUGUUGUUUAAUUCUCAUGGAGAAUGACAAGUUCCACUAAAAUAUGCACAUGGCAUCUCCAAGAAACAGAAGCAAGAAUUAAAGUGAAGGGGUGGUAGGCAAAAAAGGCCAAGAAUGACCAUGAUUAGACCAAGGAACUUCCACUUCCAAGCCGUAGCUGGCUGCAUCCUCUUCAUGACUCUUGGGAAAAUAUUUUCUGUGGAGUCUAAAAGAAACAAAAAUACACCUGAAAAGAAAAAAAGAACAGGAUAAAGGAUUGUCUCCUAAUAACUUUCCACGCCAAGCAAAACUACAUGCAAGGAUUUUUAAGCCAAACUACAGAUCUUC